Gambusia affinis (western mosquitofish) is the source of this 128-nucleotide small nucleolar RNA. The record is from Ensembl. NCBI's taxonomy places the organism in Eukaryota, Metazoa, Chordata, Actinopteri, Cyprinodontiformes, Poeciliidae.
GCAGACACACUCUGUUCUUUGCUGCAUACUCCAGCCUGGGACUUUUUCUGUCUGCUACAUAAACAUGCAGAAUGUAACACGACUAGCUUUGCUAAAAGUCUGAUGGUGUUGCAUUUUGCUACAUUUCA